GGAUCCCGCGGUCAGGCCGGGGUGCGCAGUCCCUCCAGCAGCCGGUCGAGGGCCUGCUCCGCGGCCCGGGGGUCGCCGCCCCGCGCGAUCCAC
RNAcentral lists this transfer RNA (93 nucleotides) under Streptomyces pilosus. Its description in RNAcentral is "tRNA-Glu". The record is from RNAcentral. Lineage: Bacteria; Bacillati; Actinomycetota; Actinomycetes; Kitasatosporales; Streptomycetaceae.